UACUACAGCCAUGCUGCCCUGAACAAGCCCGAUCCCAUCUGAUCUCAGAAGCUAACCAAGUACUAACCUGGUUAGUACUUGGAUGGGAGACCACCUAGGAAGAUCAGGUACUGUAGGUG
RNAcentral lists this ribosomal RNA (119 nucleotides) under Pteropus alecto (black flying fox). The record is from RNAcentral. Lineage: Eukaryota; Metazoa; Chordata; Mammalia; Chiroptera; Pteropodidae.